This 327-nucleotide unclassified non-coding RNA is filed under the name soil metagenome. RNAcentral's name for it is "partial contains 5.8S ribosomal RNA, internal transcribed spacer 2, and large subunit ribosomal RNA". The stretch from base 1 to 120 matches the Rfam family "5.8S ribosomal RNA", at positions 35 to 154 of the family's 154-position model. The record is from RNAcentral.
GAUGAAGAACGUAGCGAAAUGCGAUAAGUAAUGUGAAUUGCAGAAUUCAGUGAAUCAUCGAAUCUUUGAACGCACAUUGCGCCCUCUGGUAUUCCGGGGGGCAUGCCUGUUCGAGCGUCAUUAUAACCACUCAAGCUCUCGCUUGGUAUUGGGGUUCGCGGUUCCGCGGCCCCUAAAAUCAGUGGCGGUGCCUGUCGGCUCUACGCGUAGUAAUACUCCUCGCGAUUGAGUCCGGUAGGUCUACUUGCCAGCAACCCCCAAUUUUUACAGGUUGACCUCGGAUCAGGUAGGGAUACCCGCUGAACUUAAGCAUAUCUAAGCGGAGGA